UAUGAGUGUAGAGAGCGCACAAGACAUAGGGCAUAUAAGUCGCUUGGAGUGGUGAGAGACAGAAGGGGGAGGGAAAGUGUGGGGGAAAGAGACUGGGAGAGAGAAGCUGCUCUGUGUGGACUGUAGCUUGCAGCUGUAAUUGUGGAAGAGCGAGAAAGCGUGCUCAUGUGAGAGAGACUCAGAGACUACUAGAGAGAGAGAGAGAGAAAGCAAAAGAGGUUGAGAGAGAGUGAGAGAGAGACAGACAGAUAGCGAAGGCUGAAACACAGAGAGUGAAGUAAAUAAAGAAUGCAAGAAAGACAGUACAGUGACGCAGUGCUUCUCUGUCUACUGUAGGUGUACGAAUUCUGUGGAGGCAGCGUGAUACAAGGACUAUACAUUUCCUGUCUCCUAUCAGCCGGAUUUACUCCGAAAAGGGCAUCAAUGACCAUUGGACCAUAUACUUCUCCACAAUAUUGCAGGCACUAAAGGUGGACUUUUAACAAGUGCAGUGACAAUGCAGUGGUGCGGUCGGCCGUGAACUUCCAUGGCUUCAAUGAGAGGUGGCAGUCUGUCACGUCUGCUCUCGCUCCUCCCCUCCGGUGUUUGACGUCGCCGGUAUACUAACCGCCGGUCCUGGGAUCCAUCAUUACGAGCACCUGCACGUUGUCAUGAGGCAAACCUGGACUCCAUUACCUUACUUAUUACCACCCCUAUAUCUGGCCCUCCCUUAGGUUCCUUCCCCAGUCAGUAUUGAUCCUGUGUACAUGCAAAGACGCUACUGUUAUGUUGUCUCGUUUGUUGUUUUAUUAAACGUUUCACCUGCUUCUCAA
Salmo salar (Atlantic salmon) is the source of this 812-nucleotide non-coding RNA. The record is from RefSeq and is a predicted model, not a curated record. NCBI's taxonomy places the organism in Eukaryota, Metazoa, Chordata, Actinopteri, Salmoniformes, Salmonidae.